AACGAACGCUGGCGGCAGGCCUAACACAUGCAAGUCGAGCGCCCCGCAAGGGGAGCGGCGGACGGGUGAGUAACGCGUGGGAACGUGCCCCUUUCUACGGAAUAGCCUCGGGAAACUGGGAGUAAUACCGUAUAAGCCCUACGGGGGAAAGAUUUAUCGGGAAGGGAUCGGCCCGCGUUGGAUUAGGUAGUUGGUGGGGUAAUGGCCUACCAAGCCGACGAUCCAUAGCUGGUUUGAGAGGAUGAUCAGCCACACUGGGACUGAGACACGGCCCAGACUCCUACGGGAGGCAGCAGUGGGGAAUCUUAGACAAUGGGCGCAAGCCUGAUCUAGCCAUGCCGCGUGAGCGAUGAAGGCCUUAGGGUUGUAAAGCUCUUUCAGUGGGGAAGAUAAUGACUGUACCCACAGAAGAAGCCCCGGCUAACUCCGUGCCAGCCGCCGCCGUAA
RNAcentral lists this ribosomal RNA (447 nucleotides) under uncultured bacterium. RNAcentral's name for it is "partial 16S ribosomal RNA". It matches the Rfam family "Bacterial small subunit ribosomal RNA", at positions 29 to 523 of the family's 1533-position model. The record is from RNAcentral.